RNAcentral lists this unclassified non-coding RNA (216 nucleotides) under Hevea brasiliensis (rubber tree). The record is from RNAcentral. Lineage: Eukaryota; Viridiplantae; Streptophyta; Magnoliopsida; Malpighiales; Euphorbiaceae.
CCAGCCGCAAGACAACCAAAAAGAAAAAUGCAUAUCCCAAGGGUGUCACAAUAAGCAAAAUGAUCAUCUCCUCUUAGCUUGUCAAACAACUUAAACAAUUUUGUUUAUAAAUUUUCACUAUCAGACGAAGGGGUAGAUUUUAGCCAAAAACAACCAAUCUUGGUACAAGAGACAAACAUCGUCUCCUUUAAUUUUUCCAAGGAACAAGAAAUAUAU